UUGCUUCAGGCAGCACAUAUACAACAAUUGGAAAUGACACAAAGAAGUAAAGCAUGGCUCCUGUGCAUAGACUGACCUGCCAAUUCAUGAAACAGUCCAUUCUAUU
Marmota flaviventris (yellow-bellied marmot) is the source of this 106-nucleotide small nuclear RNA. NCBI's taxonomy places the organism in Eukaryota, Metazoa, Chordata, Mammalia, Rodentia, Sciuridae. The record is from RefSeq and is a predicted model, not a curated record.